GGGAACCAAAUCAUGCUGCUGCUGCUGCUGCUGAUGAUGAUGAUGAUGGUGAUGAUAAUGAAGAUGAGGAGUAGGAGGAGUACCAAGGUGAUGAUGGGUGCGGGGAGGCGGGCGAGGGGCCGCCGAGGAGCGCCCGGGAGGUGGGGAUGCCAUUGAGUGGUGGAUCCAUGCACGAGUGGUGGAUCCAUGCACAAGUGGACACCAGGACAGGGAACUGUUGCAGACCCAUCCCUUUCGCCCCAACUCCACCGCCCUCCAUUUCCCGCCUUCCCAUCACCUCCCCUCGCCCUCCUCCUCCUCCUCCUCACCCCUUCUCCCAGCCCCCUUCCCCCCAAACCCACCC
Molecule: long non-coding RNA, 343 nt
Filed under: Volvox carteri
Lineage: Eukaryota; Viridiplantae; Chlorophyta; Chlorophyceae; Chlamydomonadales; Volvocaceae
Description: long non-coding RNA (VCAR_LNC002561)
Source: RNAcentral